This 463-nucleotide ribosomal RNA is filed under the name Pseudomonas putida. Its description in RNAcentral is "bacterial SSU rRNA". It matches the Rfam family "Bacterial small subunit ribosomal RNA", at positions 62 to 520 of the family's 1533-position model. Lineage: Bacteria; Pseudomonadati; Pseudomonadota; Gammaproteobacteria; Pseudomonadales; Pseudomonadaceae. The record is from RNAcentral.
UCGAGCGGAUGACGGGAGCUUGCUCCUUGAUUCAGCGGCGGACGGGUGAGUAAUGCCUAGGAAUCUGCCUGGUAGUGGGGGACAACGUUUCGAAAGGAACGCUAAUACCGCAUACGUCCUACGGGAGAAAGCAGGGGACCUUCGGGCCUUGCGCUAUCAGAUGAGCCUAGGUCGGAUUAGCUUGUUGGUGAGGUAAUGGCUCACCAAGGCGACGAUCCGUAACUGGUCUGAGAGGAUGAUCAGUCACACUGGAACUGAGACACGGUCCAGACUCCUACGGGAGGCAGCAGUGGGGAAUAUUGGACAAUGGGCGAAAGCCUGAUCCAGCCAUGCCGCGUGUGUGAAGAAGGUCUUCGGAUUGUAAAGCACUUUAAGUUGGGAGGAAGGGCAGUAAGUUAAUACCUUGCUGUUUUGACGUUACCGACAGAAUAAGCACCGGCUAACUCUGUGCCAGCCGCCGCGG